This 74-nucleotide transfer RNA is filed under the name Rasboroides vaterifloris (pearly rasbora). RNAcentral describes it as "tRNA-Leu". It matches the Rfam family "tRNA". Rfam says of the family: Transfer RNA (tRNA) molecules are approximately 80 nucleotides in length. Their secondary structure includes four short double-helical elements and three loops (D, anti-codon, and T loops). The record is from RNAcentral. Lineage: Eukaryota; Metazoa; Chordata; Actinopteri; Cypriniformes; Danionidae.
GUUAGGGUGGCAGAGCCUGGUAUUGCAAAAGACCUAAGCCCUUUAUAAUAGAGGUUCAAAUCCUCUCCCUAACU